This 329-nucleotide ribosomal RNA is filed under the name Aricidea simonae. Its description in RNAcentral is "partial large subunit ribosomal RNA". It matches the Rfam family "Bacterial large subunit ribosomal RNA", at positions 2005 to 2543 of the family's 2925-position model. Lineage: Eukaryota; Metazoa; Annelida; Polychaeta; Paraonidae. The record is from RNAcentral.
CGAAAAUUAACCUGUCUCUAUUAAUUUCAUAAAAAUUAGUCUCCACGUGAAGAAACGUGGAUCUGCUUGAAGGACAAAAAGACCCUACAGAGCCUUAUUUUACAUAAAGCCCAAGUAAUCCUAAAUCACAUUUACGGUUCCUUUACUAAAAUCUAGUUGGGAGAACUAAGGAGCACCAAAAGCCUCCUCUAACAUUACAAGCUCAUAAGCUAUCCAAGUGAUCCACCAUCAGUGAUUACAAACAUAGGCUACCUUAGGGAUAACAGACUAAUUUUCCUUGCAAGCCCUAAUUAACAGGAAAGAUUGGCACCUCGAUGUUGGCUUAGGAA